CCCGUCACAUCACGAAAGUGGAUUGUACUAGAAGUUCCGCACGCUGACCCGCAAGGGGAGCAGCGCCAAGGUAUGAUUCAUGAUUGGGGUG
Molecule: ribosomal RNA, 91 nt
Filed under: uncultured bacterium
Lineage: Bacteria
Description: partial 16S ribosomal RNA
Source: RNAcentral